Molecule: ribosomal RNA, 497 nt
Filed under: uncultured bacterium
Lineage: Bacteria
Description: partial 16S ribosomal RNA
Rfam family: Bacterial small subunit ribosomal RNA
Source: RNAcentral
GAUGAACGCUGGCGGCGUGCCUAAUACAUGCAAGUCGAGCGAACAGAUAAGGAGCUUGCUCCUUUGACGUUAGCGGCGGACGGGUGAGUAACACGUGGGUAACCUACCUAUAAGACUGGGAUAACUUCGGGAAACCGGAGCUAAUCCCGGAUAAUAUUUCGAACCGCAUGGUUCGAUAGUAAAAGAUGGUUUUGCUAUCACUUAUAGAUGGACCCGCGCCGUAUUAGCUAGUUGGUAAGGUAACGGCUUACCAAGGCGACGAUACGUAGCCGACCUGAGAGGGUGAUCGGCCACACUGGAACUGAGACACGGUCCAGACUCCUACGGGAGGCAGCAGUCGGGAAUCUUCCGCAAUGGGCGAAAGCCUGACGGAGCAACGCCGCGUGAGUGAUGAAGGUCUUCGGAUCGUAAAACUCUGUUAUGAGGGAUGAACAUACGUGUAAGUAACUGUGCACGUCUUGACGGUACCUAAUCAGAAAGCCACGGCUAACUACGUG